This 305-nucleotide ribosomal RNA is filed under the name uncultured bacterium. Its description in RNAcentral is "bacterial SSU rRNA". It matches the Rfam family "Bacterial small subunit ribosomal RNA", at positions 334 to 637 of the family's 1533-position model. The record is from RNAcentral.
UGUUCCUACGGGACGCAGCAGUGAGGAAUAUUGGUCGAUGGUCGGGAGACUGAACCAGCCAAGCCGCGUGAGGGAUGAAGGUACAGAGUAUCGUAAACCUCUUUUGUCAGGGAACAAAGGCGGGGACGUGUCCCCGGAUGAGUGUACCUGAAGAAAAAGCAUCGGCUAACUCCGUGCCAGCAGUCGCGGUAAUACGGAGGAUGCGAGCGUUAUCCGGAUUUAUUGGGUUUAGAGGGUGCGCAGGCGGUCUGUUAAGUCAGCGGUCAAAGCCCGGGGCUCAACCCCGGCCCGCCGUUGGAACUGGC